Molecule: ribosomal RNA, 571 nt
Filed under: uncultured fungus
Lineage: Eukaryota; Fungi
Description: eukaryotic LSU rRNA
Rfam family: 5.8S ribosomal RNA (bases 67-220)
Source: RNAcentral
UUUAUAUACACCAAAGUAUGUUUAAAGAAUGUCAUCAAUAGGAACUUGUUUCCUAUAUAAUUAUACAACUUUCAGCAACGGAUCUCUUGGCUCUCGCAUCGAUGAAGAACGCAGCGAAAUGCGAUAAGUAAUGUGAAUUGCAGAAUUCAGUGAAUCAUCGAAUCUUUGAACGCACCUUGCGCUCCUUGGUAUUCCGAGGAGCAUGCCUGUUUGAGUGUCAUUAAAUUCUCAACCUUCCAGCUUUUUAUAAGCUUGGUUAGGCUUGGAUGUGGGGGUUGUGGGCUUCAUUAAUGAGGUCAGCUCUCCUUAAAUGCAUUAGCGGAACUUUUGUGGACCGUCUAUUGGUGUGAUAAUUAUCUACGCCGUGGAUGUGAAGCAGAUUUAUGAAGUUCAGCUUCUAACCGUCCAUUGACUUGGACAUUUUUGACAAUUUGACCUCAAAUCAGGUAGGACUACCCGCUGAACUUAAGCAUAUCAAUAAGCGGAGGAAAAGAAACUAACAAGGAUUCCCCUAGUAACUGCGAGUGAAGCGGGAAAAGCUCAAAUUUAAAAUUCUGGCAGUCUUUGGCUG